RNAcentral lists this ribosomal RNA (253 nucleotides) under uncultured bacterium. Its description in RNAcentral is "partial 16S ribosomal RNA". It matches the Rfam family "Bacterial small subunit ribosomal RNA", at positions 524 to 776 of the family's 1533-position model. The record is from RNAcentral.
UACAGAGGGUGCAAGCGUUGUUCGGAAUUAUUGGGCGUAAAGAGCUCGUAGGCGGUCUGUUGCGUCCGCUGUGAAAACUCGGGGCUUAACCCCGAGCCUGCAUUGGAUACUGGCAGGCUAGAGUGCGGUAGAGGGUGGCGGAAUUCCCGGUGUAGCAGUGAAAUGCGUAGAGAUCGGGAGGAACAUCUGUGGCGAAGGCGGCCAUCUGGACCAGCACUGACACUGAGGCACGAAAGCGUGGGGAGCAAACAGG